UACGUACCGGACAAACGUUAUUCGGAAUUACUGGGCUUAAAGAGUGCGUAGGCGGCCUAGCAGGUGGGGUGUGAAAGCCCACGGCCCAACCGUGGAAUUGCGCUUCAAACCGCUAGGCUGGAGGGAGACAGGGGUGAGCGGAACUGAUGGUGGAGCGGUGAAAUGCGUUGAUAUCAUCAGGAACACCGGUGGCGAAGGCGGCAUCCUGGACCAAUACUGACGCUGAGGAGCGAAAGCCAGGGGAGCAAACGGG
This 253-nucleotide ribosomal RNA is filed under the name uncultured bacterium. RNAcentral's name for it is "partial 16S ribosomal RNA". It matches the Rfam family "Bacterial small subunit ribosomal RNA", at positions 524 to 776 of the family's 1533-position model. The record is from RNAcentral.